UACGUAGGGUGCGAGCGUUAAUCGGAAUUACUGGGCGUAAAGUGUGCGCAGGCGGCGCCGCAAGUCGAGUGUGAAAGCCCCGGGCUUAACUUGGGAAUUGCGCUCGAAACUAUGGUGCUGGAGUGUGGCAGAGGAAGGUGGAAUUCCACGUGUAGCGGUGAAAUGCGUAGAGAUGUGGAGGAACACCGAUGGCGAAGGCAGCUCGCUGGGACGGUACUGACGCUGAGGCGCGAAAGCGUGGGGAGCAAACAGG
This 253-nucleotide ribosomal RNA is filed under the name uncultured bacterium. RNAcentral describes it as "partial 16S ribosomal RNA". It matches the Rfam family "Bacterial small subunit ribosomal RNA", at positions 524 to 776 of the family's 1533-position model. The record is from RNAcentral.